UAGAGCGUCUCGUUUACACCGAGAAUGUCGGGGGUUCGAGUCCCUCAGCGCCCAUCA
This 57-nucleotide transfer RNA is filed under the name Pseudanabaena sp. RNAcentral's name for it is "tRNA-Ser". It matches the Rfam family "tRNA", at positions 19 to 71 of the family's 71-position model. From Rfam's summary of the family: Transfer RNA (tRNA) molecules are approximately 80 nucleotides in length. Their secondary structure includes four short double-helical elements and three loops (D, anti-codon, and T loops). Further hydrogen bonds mediate the characteristic L-shaped molecular structure. tRNAs have two regions of fundamental functional importance: the anti-codon, which is responsible for specific mRNA codon recognition, and the 3' end, to which the tRNAs corresponding amino acid is attached (by aminoacyl-tRNA synthetases). tRNAs cope with the degeneracy of the genetic code in two manners: having more than one tRNA (with a specific anti-codon) for a particular amino acid; and 'wobble' base-pairing, i.e. permitting non-standard base-pairing at the 3rd anti-codon position. Lineage: Bacteria; Bacillati; Cyanobacteriota; Cyanophyceae; Pseudanabaenales; Pseudanabaenaceae. The record is from RNAcentral.